GAGAGCGAGCUCAGUCCCAGGAGGAUGCUGAAGGCAAGGAGGCGGCUCUCGGGUGCUGUGCCAGGGCAGUGAUGGUGCUCCCAUGCAGGACUCCUCGGCUGCGGGGGAUCCUCUGCUCUCCGUGCUCAGCCGGCUGCGAGGCUUCCAAGUUUUGUUCAGUUAUUCCUGAGUUUGGAAGAUAAAGAGUAGGUAGACCAAGACAAUGACUCAGAGAUGGAUUAGAAGAACAAACUGGAUUGCUAAAUCUUUGGGGGAAGAAGACUAUAUGUUCCUGGGCUUGUAUAGAAACCAGGAGACACAUGCCAUAAUUCUGGUGUAUGAAAUAAGAAGCGAGGUCUUCCCAGCCACUGCGUUGAACCAGACUGCCCAAACCCAGCAGCGUGUUUGUCUUGGAGCAAUGCAGGGCUCAAUACAAAUGUUACUUGACCUAGAAAAUGAGGGCUCACAAGGAAAAGGAGAAGCCUUUCAAUAUUUUGAUGAAUCUUGUGAAACGGAUGCAUUUCCUGGGAAGACUGUCAAAAGAGUAAAUUUCAGUGAUGGCUUGCCCCACUCCUACGAUUAUUCCUAUGGUCAAAAUAAUUGCCUGAUGUACAAAUAG
RNAcentral lists this long non-coding RNA (598 nucleotides) under Cairina moschata (Muscovy duck). Its description in RNAcentral is "domestica (muscovy Duck (domestic type)) lncRNA (ENSCMMG00000002734.1)". Lineage: Eukaryota; Metazoa; Chordata; Aves; Anseriformes; Anatidae. The record is from RNAcentral.